Small nuclear RNA from Suncus etruscus (white-toothed pygmy shrew), 110 nucleotides. Lineage: Eukaryota; Metazoa; Chordata; Mammalia; Eulipotyphla; Soricidae. The record is from RefSeq and is a predicted model, not a curated record.
GCUUUCUUCUAGCUUUAGCGCAUAUAUAUAAAAUUGGAACGAUACAGAGAAGAUUAGCAUGGCCCUUGCGCAAGGAUAACAUGCAAAUUCUUGAAGCGUUCCAUACUUAA